AUGCUAUUUAACUUAAUAUUUUGUUUUUUUUCCCCACAUUUUACUUUUGCAGUUGGUUUUUAUGCUAAAGAAGAAGAAACCUUGAGAAAAUAAAUAGCAACUGCUGUUUUCUGUCCUCAGGUUGUAUACCAUUCAACAAAACAAAACAACAAAACAAAACAGAUAAAAACAACAACAACAACAAAAUGAAAGAAGAAAUAUUCUGGUGGGGCUUCAGUAAUCCAUAUUUUAAAAAUUACAAGUGUCACGGGUAAUUUGAAGGCAGAUCAGGCAUCUUCUAAAUCAGAAUGGAUGGACCUCACUAGAAAAUACUACCAACAGUUAUAAAGGUAAACAGAAACAAUUUCCAAUAGUUUAUUUUCAAAAGCAGUUAGUUGUUAACCCUAUCAAAAGUAAGUUAUGAUUUUGAAAGUGCCACAUAUCUUCUUUUUGUUUGCUUCAGUUUACAUAGAUGUUAUCUUCUUAAUAUGAUGACUGCUCUUUAAUAUUGAUCGUCAUUGCACUUCACUGGCAAAAAUAAAUCACAGGGUGUUAAGAUGAUUAAUGUAACUGUCAGGAGAAAUAUUAAUA
Molecule: long non-coding RNA, 570 nt
Filed under: Meleagris gallopavo (turkey)
Lineage: Eukaryota; Metazoa; Chordata; Aves; Galliformes; Phasianidae
Description: lncRNA (ENSMGAG00000020882.1)
Source: RNAcentral